AAAGCGGCGACUGGUGAGUAACACGUGGAUAAUCUACCUUUAAGUUGGGGAUAAGCUUCCGAAAGGGGGUCUAAUACCGAAUAAUAUCGUUGGAUGGCCUCAUCCGACGAUCAAAGGCGGCGCAAGCUGUCGCUUAAAGAUGAGUCCGCGCUCCAUUAGCCAGUUGGCGGGGUAAGAGCCCACCAAAGCUACGAUGGAUAGCCGGCCUGAGAGGGUGUACGGCCACACUGGAACUGAG
Molecule: ribosomal RNA, 238 nt
Filed under: uncultured bacterium
Lineage: Bacteria
Description: partial 16S ribosomal RNA
Rfam family: Bacterial small subunit ribosomal RNA
Source: RNAcentral